GCCUGUGUGGCUUAGUUGGUAUAGCACUACAUUGGUAAUGUAGAGAUCCCGAGUUCGAAUCUCGGCACAGGCU
RNAcentral lists this transfer RNA (73 nucleotides) under Candidatus Pacearchaeota archaeon. RNAcentral describes it as "tRNA-Thr". It matches the Rfam family "tRNA". From Rfam's summary of the family: Transfer RNA (tRNA) molecules are approximately 80 nucleotides in length. Their secondary structure includes four short double-helical elements and three loops (D, anti-codon, and T loops). The record is from RNAcentral. Lineage: Archaea; Nanobdellati.